AACGCACAUUGCGCCCCCUGGUAUUCCUAGGGGCAUGCCUAUUCGAGCGUCGUUUACACCCUCAAGCGCAAGCUUGGUGUUGGGGAUCGCCCCUCCCUCGCGGGAGGCGGCGGCCCUUGAAUCCAUCGGCGGUGCCGGUGCGGCCUGGAGCGCAGCAGCGAUGCAGCUCGUGGGUCCGCUCGACGCCUGCCGUGCAAGCGUGGUCUUCGCGGCCACACCUUCAAACGUCGACCUCGAAUUAGGUAGGGAUACCCGCUGAACUUAA
This 265-nucleotide unclassified non-coding RNA is filed under the name uncultured fungus. Its description in RNAcentral is "partial contains 5.8S ribosomal RNA, internal transcribed spacer 2, and large subunit ribosomal RNA". Lineage: Eukaryota; Fungi. RNAcentral also lists the same sequence under 1 other name. The record is from RNAcentral.